ACACAUUAAUCUACUUAUCUGGAAUCACUUUGCCUCUAAAGGCCAGAGAAAAAUCACAGCUUCCUUGUCGGAGGGGAAAAGGACAGGUGAUCUGGGGAAAACGCAGCUACACCUGGAGCAAGGUCUCUUCCCGGCUUGGCAAUCUCAGCUGUGCCGGCGCUACGGGACCCGAGCCGUCCCAGAAACCAAAGGGCAGGCACGGCAGCAAACGCCUGAGGACUGAGAAGACGUCAAGGUCCAGACACUCGUCAUUAACACCUACUCACAACCGAUUCCCCCACCCACUUUGGCCUCACCAAGAUUUGGCAAGCAGGAGAAUUAAAUGUCACUUUGCUACCAUCCUCUGCUGAACCUCCAACAGAAAAACCCAUAUUGCCCAAGUACAAAGCAUGAAAUACUGCUGGCCUACCCUGACUUUUCAGCUAUUCUCCUUGCAUAUAGUAAAUGACUCCCCAGGAGACAUCAUCUUAAAGUCUGAGACACAAAAAAGGACCCAAAGUCCUAUAUGCUUGAAGAAUUGCAUGGCAAUAUAUUUAGUUAACAUUUUCUAUUUUAUUAGAAAAAACAGACAAUUCAAUUGUCGAUGUGAUCG
Molecule: long non-coding RNA, 592 nt
Filed under: Homo sapiens (human)
Lineage: Eukaryota; Metazoa; Chordata; Mammalia; Primates; Hominidae
Description: non-protein coding PART1:9
Rfam family: Prostate androgen-regulated transcript 1 conserved region 2 (bases 1-121)
Source: RNAcentral